RNAcentral lists this ribosomal RNA (296 nucleotides) under uncultured Coxiella sp. RNAcentral's name for it is "partial 16S ribosomal RNA". It matches the Rfam family "Bacterial small subunit ribosomal RNA", at positions 503 to 798 of the family's 1533-position model. The record is from RNAcentral. Lineage: Bacteria; Pseudomonadati; Pseudomonadota; Gammaproteobacteria; Legionellales; Coxiellaceae.
CGGUGCCAGCCGCCGCGGUAAUACAGAGAGUGCGAGCGUUCAUCGGAAUCACUGGGCGUAAAGCGCGCGUAGGUGGAUAUUUAAGUCGGAUGUGAAAGCCCUGGGCUUAACCUAGGAAUUGCACCCGAUACUAGGUAUCUCGAGUAUGGUAGAGGGAAGUGGAAUUUCCGGUGUAGCGGUGAAAUGCGUAGAUAUCGGAAAGAACACCAGUGGCGAAGGCGGCUUCCUGGACCAAUACUGACACUGAGGCACGAAAGCGUGGGGAGCAAACAGGAUUAGAUACCCGUGUAGUCCUA